This 516-nucleotide ribosomal RNA is filed under the name uncultured Nitrospira sp. RNAcentral's name for it is "bacterial SSU rRNA". It matches the Rfam family "Bacterial small subunit ribosomal RNA", at positions 376 to 896 of the family's 1533-position model. Lineage: Bacteria; Pseudomonadati; Nitrospirota; Nitrospiria; Nitrospirales; Nitrospiraceae. The record is from RNAcentral.
CGAAAGCCUGACGCAGCGACGCCGCGUGGGGGAUGAAGGUCUUCGGAUUGUAAACCCCUUCGGGAGGGAAGAUGGGAUGGGGUAACCCAUUCGGACGGUACCUCCAGAAGCAGCCACGGCUAACUUCGUGCCAGCAGCCGCGGUAAUACGAAGGUGGCAAGCGUUGUUCGGAUUUACUGGGCGUACAGGGAGCGUAGGCGGUUGGAUAAGCCCUCCGUGAAAUCUCCAGGCUUAACCUGGAAAGUGCAGAGGGGACUGUUCAGCUAGAGGAUGGGAGAGGAGCGCGGAAUUCCCGGUGUAGCGGUGAAAUGCGUAGAGAUCGGGAGGAAGGCCGGUGGCGAAGGCGGCGCUCUGGAACAUUUCUGACGCUGAGGCUCGAAAGCGUGGGGAGCAAACAGGAUUAGAUACCCUGGUAGUCCACGCCUUAAACGAUGGAUACUAAGUGUCGGCGGGUUACCGCCGGUGCCGCAGCUAACGCAGUAAGUAUCCCGCCUGGGAAGUACGGCCGCAAGGUUG